This 278-nucleotide ribosomal RNA is filed under the name uncultured Leptolyngbya sp. RNAcentral describes it as "partial 16S ribosomal RNA". It matches the Rfam family "Bacterial small subunit ribosomal RNA", at positions 367 to 664 of the family's 1533-position model. Lineage: Bacteria; Bacillati; Cyanobacteriota; Cyanophyceae; Leptolyngbyales; Leptolyngbyaceae. The record is from RNAcentral.
UGACUUCGCAGGACGAACACCGCGAUGAAGGGGAGUGAAGGCUCUAGGGUUGCUAAACCKCCUUUUCUCAGGGAAGAAGAUCUGACGGUACCAUGAGGAAUAGGCAUCGGCUAACUCCGUGCCAGCAGCCGCGGUAAGACGGAGGAGGCAAGCGUUAUCCGGAAUUAUUGGGCGUAAAGCGUCCGCAGGCGGUUAAUUAAGUCUGUUGUCAAAGCCCACAGCUCAGCUGUGGAUCGGCAAUGGAAACUGGUUGACUUGAGUGUGGUAGGGGUAGAGGG